This 266-nucleotide non-coding RNA is filed under the name Schistosoma mattheei. RNAcentral's name for it is "Bacterial large subunit ribosomal RNA". It matches the Rfam family "Bacterial large subunit ribosomal RNA", at positions 2089 to 2642 of the family's 2925-position model. The record is from Rfam by way of RNAcentral. Lineage: Eukaryota; Metazoa; Platyhelminthes; Trematoda; Strigeidida; Schistosomatidae.
CCCCAAGAGUUUUACUAUCUAUAAUAGUUUUAUUUGGGGUAAAUGUGUAUGAUUCAUUUAUUUUUAGAUCCUACAGGAUAGAGGAUAAAAUUACCUUGGGGAUAACUGAGUAAAGAGCAGUGAGAGAUCGCAUUAAGCUGUUUGUUACUACCUCGAUGUUGGCUUGUUGUACCGAUUUGGUGUAGAGGCUAAAUUUGGAAGUCUGUUCGACUUUUAAUUCUUCAUGAGCUGAGUUAAGACCGGUGUAAGCCAGGUUGGUUCUUAUC